AAAUAGAUCUUGCCCUGAGCAUCCAUCAGAUUAAGACAAGAUUCAUGUUUUUAGCUGCUUCCACUGAUCAGAAAACAUAGGAGAUGUGAGGUUCCCUUGCUGAACACAGCGUGCCUGGCUUGAAAUUUACAGUUCUUUGUGGCUGAAAAAGGCAAAGAUGGACAGUGACAUGGAACAGGCAUUGCAGACACCGGUUACUUGCCAGUAGUGCUCGGUAUACCAAACACUCAUGCAAAGGACACACAGGGAUUUUGAAGAUGCUGCACAUUCUGUAACAAUUGACUCCCCACAGACAUUUCUGACACUGUUUUCUAUUGAAGGCCAAAGUUCCUCAUUUCAGCCUAACUUCUGGUUCUGUGAAGAAGCGGGUUAUUGGACAUGUUUCCUACUGCCUCAAGUGGAAGCAGAGAUGUUCAAUACGUGCUAUCUGAGACCCUUGCAGGAGGAUGGCCCCAAUGGGAACAUUUUCACCUUCUCGUUGGCUGAACAAGAGUAAAUGGCAAACUAAAUACGAUCUAACAGUGUGACCUUAAUUUACUGAAUUCACACCCUGUUUUGUGUUCUUCACUUUUUUCAAGAACAGAAAACGUAAACUUCUCUGCAUAGGAAUACUAAAUUUCAAAAUUUUGUAACUAAACCUUUGUCACAAUGCAGUCCAAAGAGUAAAACCAAGACAGGUAACUAAUUUAUAUUGAUCAAGCUAUAGGGAUUGUUGAAAUCUGCACAUUGUAUUGCUAUUUAAGUAACUAAAACUUCUCUUUUACUGCUUGUGAGUAAAAAUAACAAAAAAUGCAGCAAAGCAAAAUCUUACAGCUAUGCAACUUUUUUUUUUUUUAAUAGGAAAAAAAAAAAAAAAAGAAUUACCAAUUUUAAGUGCUGCCAGUUAAGGUAAUUUGUUUAACGGGUAUUUUUUUAAAAAUGUUUCAGGUAAUUAUUUUAUUGUACUACUCUCAUCUCCAGGCUGCCUCCUGAGAUGUAAAUGAAUAACUGCAAAUGUGGGCACAGCAAGAGGUUUUUAUAGGCAUGGGUGAGAUGACAUCGAGGUGGGAUUUGUGUUUAAUUUUCAAAACACACACAAGUUUUUGUUUCCUUCUUUUAAUGUUUUUUUUUGAUGGCAGGAUCUGUAGUACUUUGUAUCUAAAUCCUUGGUCUCUCAUAUGGAGAUCAGCAUUU
Molecule: long non-coding RNA, 1173 nt
Organism: Antrostomus carolinensis (chuck-will's-widow)
Lineage: Eukaryota; Metazoa; Chordata; Aves; Caprimulgiformes; Caprimulgidae
Exons: 2
Source: RefSeq, a predicted model, not a curated record